GAGGGACACCGACGAAGGCGGACUAACCGCGUACAUGCCACCGGGGCAUCCCGGAGGCAGGAAAGGCUUCGGCCGGACAGGGAUGGGCAUGCGGCGCAUUAGGCAGUAGGCGGGGUAACGGCCCACCUAACCGACGAUGCGUAGGGGUUCUGAGAGGAAGGUCCCCCACACUGGUACUGAGACACGGACCAGACUCCUACGGAAGGCAGCAG
This 212-nucleotide ribosomal RNA is filed under the name uncultured bacterium. RNAcentral describes it as "partial 16S ribosomal RNA". It matches the Rfam family "Bacterial small subunit ribosomal RNA", at positions 138 to 354 of the family's 1533-position model. The record is from RNAcentral.